RNAcentral lists this long non-coding RNA (2787 nucleotides) under Equus asinus (donkey). Its description in RNAcentral is "lncRNA (ENSEASG00005035065.1)". Lineage: Eukaryota; Metazoa; Chordata; Mammalia; Perissodactyla; Equidae. The record is from RNAcentral.
AGUAGACCAAGAUCAUGAGUGUUCUAAAACAGUUCCCUAGAAAGACUUGGCCCUAAUCUGAGCUUAUUUUGUAGAAGAAGUAUGUCAUGCGCAAGGUAGGAUGGCUGUCUCAGUGCAAAUUCACUCACAGUCCUCACUUGAGAAAAAUCCAGAGAGAAAUGCCUUAAGUCAGUAGUUCCAUAGUCUUAUUUUGAGAAACCUUUUAUUACUUAUAACACUGCAACUUUUAAAAAUCUUUUUUCUUAAUUUUUAUAAUUUUAAUGUUUAUUAGCAGAAAUAAAAUUUAUUUUUUAAAUUUGGCUCUGGUAACUCCACGUCCUAAGCAAGGAGUUUCCAUGGAGAGUGGUGUGUGCGUGUGUGUUUAGUUUAAUCAUUUGUUUUGAAAUAAUUCCAAGUCUGUAGAAAAGUUGCCAAAAUGGUGCAAAGAACUCUCAUGUCCUCUUCUCCCAGAUUCUCAAAUAGUUAACAUUUUCUUGCUUCAUUGCUUACUCUGUGUGUGUGUGUGUGUGUGCGCCCGCAUGCAAGUGCAUAUAUCGCUUGUUAUUAGUCUUUUUCUGGGCCUUAUGAAGGUUGAGAGUGAUGGGGUUCAGGGCAGGCCACCCCAAGAUGUGCCACUCUGGUGAUGUGCCACAAUAAAGGCUCAAAAGACUCAGGAAGAGCAUCCAACCUUCCCCCCCAAAACUGCCUACAGGACUUUAACAUAGAAGGCCUGUUCCAGGAAGGAGCUCAUAUCAUGUGAUAGCUAUAGUAUGAUGGAAAAUAGGUGUGAAAAAAGGACACCAAUAAACCCAGUUUUUGGGCCCAGCAAAACCUGUUUAACAAACAUUUGCAUUUCAUCUCUCUGUAAAUUGUCUUCCUCCCCUUUGAAGUCCCAGACCACUAACCCCAAUGUCCUCCUUGUCUGUAACUGAGGUUACUUAAACAGGUGGACUCAGCCAGAUGGCUGAGUUACUCAGUUUCUUCUGGGUUUCUCCCAUGUGUACAUGCUAUUAAAUUCUGUUUGAUUUUCUCUUGCUAACCUGCCUCUUUGAUUAUUUAACCAGCCAUAAGAACCGUAAGGAAAAGCAGGGAGGAAUUCUCCCACUUCCCCGACAAGAGCAAACUGUGGAUAUGAUGUCCCAUCACUCCCAAGCACUCCAGUGUGUAUUUUCCCCCAAACAGGGACACUCUCCUACCUAAUGGCAGACAACCUUCCACAUCAGGAAACAAUAUUGGUGCAACACUACCAUCCAAUCCACUGAGCCCAUUCAAAUUUCACCCACUAUCCCAACAAUGUCUCUUUUCCUCUUUGGUCCAAAAUGCUAUACAGGAAUAUACAUUGCAUUUAGUUGUCAUGUAUCUUCACACUCCUUUCAUCUGGAACAGUUCCCAGUAUUUUGUGUCCUGGACAGUUUUAAAGAGUACAGGCCUUUCUAUAGGAUGGCAUACAACCUGGGUCCUUCUAAUGGCAGGAAUACCACAAAAUGAUCCUUUGCUUCUCCCAGUGAGUCUCAUCAGGAGGCAUGAAAUGUAGACUCCUCCCAACACUGGCGAUGUUAACUUUGAUCACCUGAUCAUGUUGGUUUCCUCAGUUCACUGUUUUCCCCUUUGUAAUUGAUUAGUAUUCCAAAAUCAUGCCAAUAUUCUCCUCUUCAUCAAACCUUCACCAACCAACCUUAGCAUCCAUUGAAGAUUCCUGCCUGAAUCAUCCAUCUCUAUAGCAGGAUGACAAAUGGUAAUUUUCUAUUUCCAUCAUUUCUUAUCCAUUAUUGGAUUGGCAUUCUAGAAACAGCUUUCCUUUCUAUUUAUUUAUAUCAAUGUGAACUUGUGUAUUCCUAUUUUAUUCAAUGGAUUGUAAUCCAUUAUUACCAUUGUUUAUUUUGAUGCUCGAAUAGUCUAAUUUGGCCAGUGGGAGUCCCUUCUGAUGCGGGCUUGGUGAGUCAAGGAGUCAAAAGAAAGAUUUCUUGGACUCUCAAGGUCUGGCAGUAGUGCUCUUUUAUUCAGAGAAUAGUAUGGAAUAGCAUGAGGACAGGACCCAUGGGCAGUAAAGAGCUGCAGGCAUGGGGACAGGACCCAUGGGCGGUGAAGAGCUGCUGCAAUGUGUUGAGCGUUAGGGCUACAUUUAUAAGGCAUGGGUACGUUGACUUAUUUUUACUGGAAAAAGAAAAGAUGAUGUAAAAAGUCAUUAAAUGGUUUGAGUGCAGAUGGGGUCUGGUUAUUGUGUGGUCGUAUAACUUUAGAUAUGAAUCUGGUCAUAUAGAUCGGCAUGUAGGUGAGGAUGCCCUGGGCUUCUCUCCCUGGGGCAGCCCUAAUCCACACCAUAAAAUCCAUCGGGUCAUAUAGAUCAGCAUGUAGGCCAGGAUACUUUGGGCUUCUCUACCUAGGGCAGCCUCGAUCCACAUCACCUUCAAGCUGGGUCUUCACAUUGCAACAUUUUAAAGUACGUAUAUUGCUAAGAUUCAUCCAUGUUGUGAGUAGUUGGAGUGCAUUCAUUUUGACUGCUUUGUAAUAUGCUGUUUUGUGACUAUGUAUCAGUUUAUUCAUCCACUCUUCCUUGGAUGGGCACUUGGGUUGUUUCCAGGUUUUUGCUAUUGUAUUUUGCUAUUCCAACUCUAAAGUAAUGUUGAAUUUCAAAUGUAUUAAAAUUUUGCAUUAACAUCAUAUACUUCGUCUGUUUAUGCUAUAAACAUUGAGUACUAGAAGCAUCACUGUUUUGCCCUCUCACCAACAGUGUGUGAAAGUCAAUAAAAUACUGUCUUAUCUGCAUCUUUGACGGAGAAAGAUUUAAAUGAUCUAUUUUCAAAACCG